RNAcentral lists this microRNA precursor (144 nucleotides) under Gossypium arboreum. Its description in RNAcentral is "MIR7502 microRNA precursor family". It matches the Rfam family "MIR7502 microRNA precursor family". The record is from Rfam by way of RNAcentral. Lineage: Eukaryota; Viridiplantae; Streptophyta; Magnoliopsida; Malvales; Malvaceae.
UAUUAAAACUUCUAUCAAUUUGUACUAUAAAAACUAGCACGGUUGAUAAAAUAAUCAAAUAGUAACAUGUAACAUGCCAUAUGUAUCUCAUACUAUCAUACAUGGACUAAUGUUUAACAAUAGAAAUGAAUAAAUUUUUUAACA